This 260-nucleotide long non-coding RNA is filed under the name Ananas comosus (pineapple). Its description in RNAcentral is "long non-coding RNA (ACOM_LNC016780)". Lineage: Eukaryota; Viridiplantae; Streptophyta; Magnoliopsida; Poales; Bromeliaceae. The record is from RNAcentral.
AAUGGCUACUCACCGGAGCAGUGGGAGCUAGGGAUGGCCGUCGGCGAUCGGGCGGCGGGCGCUCCGGCCGGAGAUGGGAGCAGCCGGUCGGAGAAGUCCGGGGGAGGUGCUGGCCGGCGGCGGGCGGCAGCCGGUGGCGUGGCGGCGGAGAUCCACUCCGCCCACUCCUCCUCGGGUUCGGGGCUGCCGGCGGCGAGGCGGCGGCCGGGGGAGCUCGGGACGGCGAUGAUUCGGUGUCGGAGGCCGAGGGGAAGGUGAUG